Molecule: long non-coding RNA, 1467 nt
Organism: Mus musculus (house mouse)
Lineage: Eukaryota; Metazoa; Chordata; Mammalia; Rodentia; Muridae
Product: predicted gene, 53761
Exons: 3
Source: RefSeq, a predicted model, not a curated record
AUAUUCACAUAUACAUCUGACAGGAAGAAUUUUUCUGUUUGUAAAAUUGUUAGAUAUCUACACUAGAAAAUUUCAGAAAAUCCAACAAAAGGGGGGGGUGUCACAGACCAACUUAAGCCCCUCCAUACUUCCCUUGGUCCUUUCCUUAUUUUUACUACUCUGCCCUCAUAUAUGCAAUGGGAUCCUCUACCUCAGGUCUGCCUCUUACCCUUCCUGGGUGGUUUAUCUCGCUGCCUCUUCAUGACUGUGUUAUGGUCACCCGGGAACUUUCUUUGACCUUGUAAGCACGGCGAAUGACCUCAGCUUUUAAUCAAGUAUGUAAUCCUGAAAAACCCAGGCACAUUCCAACCUAGCCCAGAAGCUGGCACGAUCUCUUGUGAGCUGCAACCUCAGAGCGAAGCCUUCUGUCGUUCUCUCCAGGGAGAAACAUAAUCAGAAUUCCAACUUUGCGUCUGCAAUCUUCUCGGUUGUUAAAGCAUUUCCCAGCCUCCCUUGCGGAGCUGAACUCAUGACAAAGCUCAGCCACUAAGGUGACCGUGCAAAUGAAGGCAAGGGGCUUCUGGAAUGUUCUUUACCGAGAAAGCUGAGAACACCAUACAUCUUCUCCUCUAGCCUUGGCCUUCCUAGAGUGGAACUCAGAAGACAGGAAACCCAGCAGUGAUUGCUAAGGAUGACCGAGAAGAAAGCAGCUAGUUCCUCUACAGCCCUACUAAGUGCCAGCACUGGCCCCAGGGUGCUCAUCUGUGGACUCUGCCGAGAGAGCAUCGCUCUCUGAAGAAGCCACUGUGUAACUUAACAACUGGACACCAUACUGACACAAGAGAGACUCCUGCCAUUGUUGCAAGUUUAUAAUUUGUGACUAAGGACAGAACUCAAAUCAACCCUGUGUCCUUAUAGCUGUGUAUUUACACCAGUGUGCCUUGCUGCUACUAAUGGCCUGGUAAUAAGCAUUUUGAUGCACAUGUGCGCAUGGGCCCUUACAUUUCUCAAACCCUUUAUCAUUUGUGAAAUUCUCAAACCUGCUUUCUUUAGGCUUUUUGUUUUGUUCUGUUUUUCUCACAAAGAAAGAAAGGAAGGAAGGCAAGAUAAGAUGAUUCAGUAGUCCAGCCACAGGCAACAGGCUGUCAGGAAUGGUGUCUCUCCUUUUAAGUCCUUACAACAACUAUAUUCUGCCCACAAUGUCAGCAGCUUCAGCAAAUACUGAGCUGAAAGCUGGAUACAAAUGAUGACGAAUCCUGGACAGCCCAGGGUCGGGGAGCCACCCAGAUCACCCUCUUACAUCAGCUAGCUAGUCUCCAGCCUUGGAAGCAAAGAACGAAAGAAAGAAGGAAGGAAGGAGAUCUCUCAUUCGCAGGACUCGUAAAUCCUGGAUAUUGCCUGGGGCCUCAAGAAACAGGGGGCUAAGCCAGCAACUCUGGACCAUGAUGCAGGGUACAGAAAACCACCACCACCACCACCACCACCACC